AGCGAACGCUGGCGGCAGGCCUAACACAUGCAAGUCGAACGAAGUCUUCGGACUUAGUGGCGGACGGGUGAGUAACACGUGGGAACGUGCCUUUAGGUUCGGAAUAACUUAGGGAAACUUGUGCUAAUACCGAAUGUGCCCUUCGGGGGAAAGAUUUAUCGCCUUUAGAGCGGCCCGCGUCUGAUUAGCUAGUUGGUGAGGUAAAGGCUCACCAAGGCGACGAUCAGUAGCUGGUCUGAGAGGAUGAUCAGCCACAUUGGGACUGAGACACGGCCCAAACUCCGACGGGAGGCAGCAGUGGGGAAUUUUGCGCAAUGGGCGAAAGCCUGACGCAGCCAUGCGGCGUGAAUGAUGAAGGUCUUAGGAUUGUAAAAUUCUUUCACCGGGGACGAUAAUGACGGUACCCGGAGAAGAAGCCCCGGCUAACUUCGUGCCAGCCGCCGCUGUAA
This 449-nucleotide ribosomal RNA is filed under the name uncultured bacterium. RNAcentral describes it as "partial 16S ribosomal RNA". It matches the Rfam family "Bacterial small subunit ribosomal RNA", at positions 29 to 523 of the family's 1533-position model. The record is from RNAcentral.